This 429-nucleotide ribosomal RNA is filed under the name uncultured bacterium. RNAcentral's name for it is "bacterial SSU rRNA". It matches the Rfam family "Bacterial small subunit ribosomal RNA", at positions 355 to 775 of the family's 1533-position model. The record is from RNAcentral.
UGGGGAAUAUUGGACAAUGGGGGAAACCCUGAUCCAGCAAUGCCGCGUGUGUGAAGAAGGCCUGAGGGUUGUAAAGCACUUUCGCUGGGGAGGAGUGAUUGAUUAGUUAAGAGCUGAUUAAUUGGACGUUACCCAGAUAAGAAGCACCGGCUAACUCCGUGCCAGCAGCCGCGGUAAUACGGAGGGUGCGAGCGUUAAUCGGAAUUACUGGGCGUAAAGGGUGCGUAGGUGGUUGAAUAAGUUAGCUGUGAAAGACCUGGGCUUAACCUAGGGGUGUCAGCUAAGACUGAUUGACUAGAGUAUGGGAGAGGGUAGUGGAAUUUCCGGUGUAGCGGUGAAAUGCGUAGAGAUCGGAAGGAACACCAGUGGCGAAGGCGGCUACCUGGCCUAAUACUGACACUGAGGCACGAAAGCGUGGGGAGCAAACAG